This 26-nucleotide non-coding RNA is filed under the name Homo sapiens (human). The record is from RNAcentral. Lineage: Eukaryota; Metazoa; Chordata; Mammalia; Primates; Hominidae.
CCACUGUGGAGACAGGCCCCCGAGUG